Molecule: ribosomal RNA, 1244 nt
Filed under: Candidatus Phytoplasma solani
Lineage: Bacteria; Bacillati; Mycoplasmatota; Mollicutes; Acholeplasmatales; Acholeplasmataceae
Description: bacterial SSU rRNA
Rfam family: Bacterial small subunit ribosomal RNA
Source: RNAcentral
GAAACGACUGCUAAGACUGGAUAGGAGAUAAGAAGGCAUCUUUUUAUUUUUAAAAGACCUAGCAAUAGGUAUGCUUAGGGAAGAGCUUGCGUCACAUUAGUUAGUUGGUGGGGUAAUGGCCUACCAAGACGAUGAUGUGUAGCCGGGCUGAGAGGUCGAACGGCCACAUUGGGACUGAGACACGGCCCAAACUCCUACGGGAGGCAGCAGUAAGGAAUUUUCGGCAAUGGAGGAAACUCUGACCGAGCAAUGCCGCGUGAACGAUGAAGUAUUUCGGUACGUAAAGUUCUUUUAUUAGGGAAGAAAAGAUGGUGGAAAAACCAUUAUGACGGUACCUAAUGAAUAAGCCCCGGCUAACUAUGUGCCAGCAGCCGCGGUAAUACAUAGGGGGCAAGCGUUAUCCGGAAUUAUUGGGCGUAAAGGGUGCGUAGGCGGUUAAAUAAGUUUAUGGUCUAAGUGCAACGCUCAACGUUGUGAUGCUAUAAAAACUGUUUAGCUAGAGUUGGAUAGAGGCAAGUGGAAUUCCGUGUGUAGUGGUAAAAUGCGUAAAUAUACGGAGGAACACCAGAAGCGAAGGCGGCUUGCUGGGUCUUAACUGACGCUGAGGCACGAAAGCGUGGGGAGCAAACAGGAUUAGAUACCCUGGUAGUCCACGCCCUAAACGAUGAGUACUAAACGUUGGAUAAAACCAGUGUUGAAGUUAACACAUUAAGUACUCCGCCUGAGUAGUACGUACGCAAGUAUGAGACUUAAAGGAAUUGACGGGACUCCGCACAAGCGGUGGAUCAUGUUGUUUAAUUCGAAGGUACCCGAAAAACCUCACCAGGUCUUGACAUGCUUUUGCAAAGCUGUAGAAAUACAGUGGAGGUUAUCAGAAGCACAGGUGGUGCAUGGUUGUCGUCAGCUCGUGUCGUGAGAUGUUGGGUUAAGUCCCGCAACGAGCGCAACCCUUGUUGUUAAUUGCCAUCAUUAAGUUGGGGACUUUAGCAAGACUGCCAAUGAUAAAUUGGAGGAAGGUGGGGACGACGUCAAAUCAUCAUGCCCCUUAUGACCUGGGCUACAAACGUGAUACAAUGGCUGUUACAAAGGGUAGCUAAAGCGUAAGCUUCUGGCGAAUCUCAAAAAAGCAGUCUCAGUUCGGAUUGAAGUCUGCAACUCGACUUCAUGAAGUUGGAAUCGCUAGUAAUCGCGAAUCAGCAUGUCGCGGUGAAUACGUUCUCGGGGUUUGUACACACCGCCCGUCA